RNAcentral lists this ribosomal RNA (417 nucleotides) under uncultured bacterium. RNAcentral describes it as "bacterial SSU rRNA". It matches the Rfam family "Bacterial small subunit ribosomal RNA", at positions 1049 to 1474 of the family's 1533-position model. The record is from RNAcentral.
UUGUCGUCAGCUCGUGCCGUGAGGUGUCGGCUUAAGUGCCAUAACGAGCGCAACCCCUUUCUUCAGUUGCCAUCGGGUAAUGCUGGGCACUCUGGAGACACUGCCUCCGCAAGGUGUGAGGAAGGUGGGGAUGACGUCAAAUCAGCACGGCCCUUACGUCCGGGGCUACACACGUGUUACAAUGGCGCGUACAGCGAGUCGGGCGUGUGCAAGCACGCUCCAAUCUUGAAAACGCGUCUCAGUUCGGACCGGGGUCUGCAACCCGACCCCGCGAAGCUGGAUUCGCUAGUAAUCGCGCAUCAGCCAUGGCGCGGUGAAUACGUUCCCGGGCCUUGUACACACCGCCCGUCAAGCCAUGAAAGCCGGGGGCGCCUGAAGUCCGUGACCGCAAGGGUCGGCCUAAGGCAAUUAUGUUUU